This 2656-nucleotide unclassified non-coding RNA is filed under the name Leishmania donovani. RNAcentral's name for it is "gene:LdHU3.33.3590(CDS-product:hypothetical_prote in)". Lineage: Eukaryota; Euglenozoa; Kinetoplastea; Trypanosomatida; Trypanosomatidae. The record is from RNAcentral.
CUGUGUCUCUCGUUGUCAUUGACGUGCGCGAGCACUGUGAACCCACUGUAAAACUGCUCCAUCACCGCCUGCAUCCCACUUUCCCGUCACUCCUGCAUCUGUGCAUUCGCGUACCCAUGAGCGACGUCAACCCGGCGACUUCACUUCCAGCUGGCGGCGCAGGCGAAGGCGCGAGCCGUUUGUCGUACGCCUUUUUCACCUCCUGGUGUCGACAGCGGCUGCUACCCACCUUGUUCCCCUCGCCCGCCACCGCGACGAUGUCGCCACCCCGCCUCGCCUCACUCUGCCCUGCUGCUCUACCGGACCUCGAGGUGACUGCGGCAGCAAAGGUGUCUGUGCCACCGACGCCGCCGCACUCCGCAGCAGUGCCCACGCAGGCAGCAUUCUUGGCGACACCGAGGGGAGAGCGCCGAAGGGAGCUGGCGCCGUUGUCGCCGCCGCCACACCCGAUAUCUAUUGAGAUGGAGGCGAACUCCACGGAUAGCGUCCCUGCCGCUGCUCUUGUGCAUUCGCUGCCACUCCCCCCGGCGGCACUGCAGCAAGGCUGCGGCGUUGCAUCUUCGAAGACCUCCGCUGUAGCUACAGACUCCUGUGCCCUUGCUGACGCUUCCCCCACGCAAGGAUCUGCGUCGUCAGUGUCUACGACGCCGCAAGUGACGCCCUCUUCGUCUUUACUCUCCCUCCACAAGCUGAGUACGAAGGCCGCGUCGACUUCGAACGCGGCAUCGGACAAGCCAGCGCCGGUGCUACUUGCCGGAAAUGGUCGGCCGGGAUUGCCUUCGUCGACCUCUUCCCCGUUCAUCUACCCUGCCCCGCUGUCGUCGCCGUUUCCUGCGCCGGCAGACUCGCUUGCGGGGAUGCGUACCCCGCCCACGUGCGUGGAGUUGCCAGGGCCGCAGUCGCUCUUCAUUCGCGGCUCUGACGCUCUUGGGUGCAGUGGUCGCUCACCCCCGCUGCUGUAAUAAGACAUGCGCACAGAGAUGGGCGGCGCGCCUUCAGGUAAGGUCUAGAGCGACCGCUUCUCUUUUUCGCUUUCGUCCCUCUUUGUUCUCACAUCUCCCAUGUACUCUAAUGCGUGAGCGCGUGCUGUACACUGUGGAGGACUUGCUGAUGUCGGCACAGAGCAUGCGCUGCCUUGCACGAUGAUGUUGCGCAGCAUGGGCCUUGGUCAUUGCCCUUCACGACGAGCCGCGCUGUGCCAAGGACGGUCGUUUCUUCUCUUCCAAUGGCGUUUCCAGCCCCCUCCCCUCCCUCCCUCGUUGCCCCCUUCUCUUCCGCUUGCGUGCUCGUCGUAGCCACCGGUGGCUUUCCUCGCAGUCACCGUGAUCUUGGUGACUGCUGCUACCGCAAACAACCCCAGGAAAGAAGACGAGGCCCAUCGACAUUCUACUCCGAACUCCUCCCCCACUCCGAUGUGAGCAUCCUCGGACGGCGAAAGCUGCCCUUCAUCAUAUUGGUCCUCUUUUUUGCUUCUCUGAAGUCUCGCUUUCUCUCUCUGUCGCUUGCCCUUUCCUUCUCUUUUCUUUUCUCCCGCUUUAUCUGUUUCCCUGUCUGGGUGCGCCUGUAUACGUGCACGCACUGCACCUUGCUGCUUCUCUGUUCUUCUGUGUUUUCUCUCGCUGUUUGAUCUGAUGCAUGGGGCACACCUCUUUUUCGUCGCUCUUCUGGAUGCCCACCCCCCUCUCUCUCUGUAAAAGACAAGGUGCUGCAGCCGGAGAGGGGAAGGGGGACACUGACGCUGCCGCCUCAAUCAAGAAUUCAUUGGGUGCAUGCGUGUCUGUCUCUUUGAGAGUCCUUUGCACGUCUCACUCGUCUUGCUCUUGGUGUGUUGCUAGUUAGCCAUACGCCGCAUGGGCUCGGCGCCUGCUCUGCUUGCGUGGCUUUCUUCGUCUUUCCGCUGCAUGUUUUUGUCUUGUCUUUUUGAGUGUAUGGCGUGAAGGCGGUCACAUUUCCGAAGCGGGCGACGCUUCUUCGCUUGUUUAUGUGUUUAUGUGCUCGUGUGUGUGUGCAGUAGGCGACUCGCUCUGCGUAGUUGCGGCGGGGAGGCGUCGGGCAGGCGUUUCGAGCUCCAUCAGCAUUCGAGCCAGUGUGCAGGGUCCAGCAAAGAAGCAAACCAACGCCGCACAGCAGCACGCAGCCAGCUCUCUUGUUGCUGCGAUGGCUCAUCCGCUGCCUCCGCUGGUCCUUCGUUUUCUUUUUGCGGCCGUGACGAGGUGCGUCUUCCCCUCGUCUGUGUUUUUUUUUUUCACCCUCGCUGCCUCACCCAACGUCGGCACGCCGCUCACCCUCCUGCCCCGUGCACACAGGCACAGAGGAACGAAUGCUAAAAGAAAAAAAAGCGAUCAGAUGGAGGAUUCAAAACAGCAGCGACAACCACAACCCGUAAUGACACGGACGACACACGGCGACGUUGUCCGUGCGGUGCUGACCUUCUUCACCCCCUAAAUCUUCGAUCCGUUCGGUGGUACAUCAUCCGCUGUUUUCCCUUUUCGAUGUUUGCGCGCGCGCUCUAUUAUAAUACCACUCUUCUGCUCUCUUUUGUGGACGCGACAUCUGCGUGCUUGCCCGUGUGUUUUUUUUUUAGACUCGCAGUUCGCGUCUCUCUCUUUCGAUUUGCUUCACGAAAGCAGAUCGUUGCGAUGAACCUCCUCAUCGG